This 468-nucleotide ribosomal RNA is filed under the name uncultured bacterium. RNAcentral's name for it is "partial 16S ribosomal RNA". It matches the Rfam family "Bacterial small subunit ribosomal RNA", at positions 28 to 507 of the family's 1533-position model. The record is from RNAcentral.
GACGAACGCUGGCGGCGUGCUUAACACAUGCAAGUCGAACGGAAAGGCCCUGCUUUUGUGGGGUGCUCGAGUGGCGAACGGGUGAGUAACACGUGAGUAACCUGCCCUUGACUUUGGGAUAACUUCAGGAAACUGGGGCUAAUACCGGAUAGGAGCUCCUGCUGCAUGGUGGGGGUUGGAAAGUUUCGGCGGUUGGGGAUGGACUCGCGGCUUAUCAGCUUGUUGGUGGGGUAGUGGCUUACCAAGGCUUUGACGGGUAGCCGGCCUGAGAGGGUGACCGGCCACAUUGGGACUGAGAUACGGCCCAGACUCCUACGGGAGGCAGCAGUGGGGAAUAUUGCACAAUGGGCGGAAGCCUGAUGCGGCAACGCCGCGUGCGGGAUGACGGCCUUCGGGUUGUAAACCGCUUUCGCCUGUGACGAAGCGUGAGUGACGGUAAUGGGCAAAGAAGCACCGGCUAACUACGUG